CACCCACUAUUUUCCUGCGCAUACCAUUGGUGUAGAGGAGAGGGCUCCGUUCUCAAUCGGCCCAGUGACAGUAUUUA
RNAcentral lists this transfer RNA (77 nucleotides) under Pararhodospirillum photometricum DSM 122. Its description in RNAcentral is "tRNA-Arg". Lineage: Bacteria; Pseudomonadati; Pseudomonadota; Alphaproteobacteria; Rhodospirillales; Rhodospirillaceae. The record is from RNAcentral.